GCCCCGAUAGCAUAGCCUGGCCAAUGCACUCGCCUCGUAAGCGAGAGACCGCGGGUUCAAACCCCGCUCGGGGCU
RNAcentral lists this transfer RNA (75 nucleotides) under Nitrososphaerota archaeon. RNAcentral describes it as "tRNA-Thr". It matches the Rfam family "tRNA". Rfam says of the family: Transfer RNA (tRNA) molecules are approximately 80 nucleotides in length. Lineage: Archaea; Thermoproteati; Nitrososphaerota. The record is from RNAcentral.